GUGAAUCAUCGAAUCUUUGAACGCAAAUUGCACUCUCCUCGAAUAGUAUGCCUGUUUGAGUUUCAGCCUAUUUAAAAUCGACAUCGUUGCUGUUUCGCGGUGACGUUCGUUGAAAAUUGGGUCAUCAUAAAUCUUGUUGAUAUAAGCGACUUAAAAUUUUUUUUUGGUUCCAUGAACGUUUCUAAUAUCUAUUUCUUUACACGUUUAAGGUAUCGAUUUUUACUGGACGUGACCAUCAUAUCUGUUCGCUUCCAUAAUCUUUC
This 263-nucleotide unclassified non-coding RNA is filed under the name Glomus sp. RNAcentral describes it as "partial internal transcribed spacer 2". The record is from RNAcentral. Lineage: Eukaryota; Fungi; Glomeromycota; Glomeromycetes; Glomerales; Glomeraceae.